Chlorocebus sabaeus (green monkey) is the source of this 833-nucleotide non-coding RNA. NCBI's taxonomy places the organism in Eukaryota, Metazoa, Chordata, Mammalia, Primates, Cercopithecidae. The record is from RefSeq and is a predicted model, not a curated record.
GAGCCAGGGCUGGGCCUGGGAGGGGCGGGGGUGCAACUGGUGUCCAAACUCACAGGCUACUCCCCCAGGCCUCAGUUUCCCCACCAGUGCAGGAGGGAGUGACUGUCAAGAGCCUUCUCUGAGCCAUGCUGGGGCCAACACAUCCACGGGACCCACUCCCGCCUUGGCUUCCCCAGGGCCCUGUGGGUGGGUAGGUGGGUGGGUGGGGCCUGGCAGGCUUCUCCACGUGAGGCUGCGAUGCUCUGGUGUUCGGCAGAGGCUGUGUGGGCGCAGAGCGGGUACUUACCUGGGCUCUGAGGUCGUGCGGCUGCAAAGGAAAUAGGCACAGUCUGGGACCUGUGGGCGUGCCCCCCCCUCCCGCCGCCUCAGCCGGGGGUCUGCAUGGAACACGCUUAGGGCUGGCAGGCACGGUGCCCACCGCUGUGUGGGCUGCAGCACAGGGGCUGCCCAUCUUCUUCCUCAAGCCUCCCCUGAGCCUCUCUGCCCCCAGUGGGGGUCAUGGCUGCUCCAGCCGGAAGCACUGCAUGUGGGCACACAGACCAGACGAAAAGAGCUGCCGGCAGUGGCAAAGCUGAUCUAGUUCCCGACACUGAAGGUGGGGAUGGCGUGGGUCACACAGGACAGGGGCUGCCACGGUCCCAGCCCCCGGAAGGUGGGGAUGGCGUGGGUCACACAGGACAGGGGCUGCCACGGUCCCAGCCCCCGGAAGGUGGGGAUGGCGUGGGUCGCACAGGACAGGGGCUGCCACGGUCCCAGCCCCCGGAAGGUGGGGAUGGCGUGGGUCGCACAGGACAAGGGCUGCCCCAGGACCUCUGAGGUGGAGAAGACGUGAC